This 2918-nucleotide ribosomal RNA is filed under the name Aeromonas hydrophila. RNAcentral describes it as "23S ribosomal RNA". It matches the Rfam family "Bacterial large subunit ribosomal RNA". Lineage: Bacteria; Pseudomonadati; Pseudomonadota; Gammaproteobacteria; Aeromonadales; Aeromonadaceae. The record is from RNAcentral.
GUUGUAUGGUUAAGUGACUAAGCGUACAUGGUGGAUGCCUUGGCAGUCAGAGGCGAUGAAGGACGUACUAACCUGCGAUAAGCCGUGAGCAGUCGGUAAGAGACAUUACGACUCACGGAUUUCCGAAUGGGGAAACCCACUUAGCAUAAGCUAGGUAUCGCUACGUGAAUACAUAGCGUAGCGAGGCGAACCGGGAGAACUGAAACAUCUAAGUACCCCGAGGAAAAGAAAUCAACCGAGAUUCCCUCAGUAGCGGCGAGCGAACGGGGAUUAGCCCUUAAGCAUCUUGGAAGUUAGUGGAACGGUCCUGGAAAGGCCGGCGAUACAGGGUGAUAGCCCCGUACACGAAAACAACCUUGAUGUGAAAUCGAGUAGGGCGGGACACGUGACAUCCUGUCUGAAUAUGGGGGGACCAUCCUCCAAGGCUAAAUACUCCUGACUGACCGAUAGUGAACCAGUACCGUGAGGGAAAGGCGAAAAGAACCCCUGUGAGGGGAGUGAAAUAGAACCUGAAACCGUGUACGUACAAGCAGUGGGAGCCCUUCGGGGUGACUGCGUACCUUUUGUAUAAUGGGUCAGCGACUUACAUUUUGUAGCGAGGUUAACCGUAUAGGGGAGCCGUAGGGAAACCGAGUCUUAACUGGGCGUCUAGUUGCAAGGUGUAGACCCGAAACCGGGUGAUCUAGCCAUGGGCAGGUUGAAGGUUGAGUAACAUCAACUGGAGGACCGAACCCACUAACGUUGCAAAGUUAGGGGAUGACCUGUGGCUGGGGGUGAAAGGCCAAUCAAACUCGGAGAUAGCUGGUUCUCCCCGAAAGCUAUUUAGGUAGCGCCUCGGACGAAUACUACUGGGGGUAGAGCACUGUUUGGGCUAGGGGGUCAUCCCGACUUACCAACCCCAUGCAAACUCCGAAUACCAGUAAGUAAUAUCCGGGAGACACACGGCGGGUGCUAACGUCCGUCGUGAAGAGGGAAACAACCCAGACCGCCGGCUAAGGUCCCAAAGUUCUGGUUAAGUGGGAAACGAUGUGGGAAGGCUCAGACAGCUAGGAUGUUGGCUUAGAAGCAGCCAUCAUUUAAAGAAAGCGUAAUAGCUCACUAGUCGAGUCGGCCUGCGCGGAAGAUGUAACGGGGCUCAAACCAGGCACCGAAGCCGCGGAUUCACACUAAGUGUGAGUGGUAGGGGAGCGUUCUGUAAGUCUGCGAAGGUGUGUCGAGAGGCAUGCUGGAGAUAUCAGAAGUGCGAAUGCUGACGUAAGUAACGAUAAAGGGGGUGAAAAGCCUCCUCGCCGGAAGACCAAGGGUUCCUGUCCAACGUUAAUCGGGGCAGGGUGAGUCGACCCCUAAGGCGAGGCCGAAAGGCGUAGUCGAUGGGAAGCAGGUUAAUAUUCCUGCACGACUUGUAAUUGCGAUGGGGGGACGGAGAAGGCUAGGUGGGCCAGGCGACGGUUGUCCUGGUGAAAGUGCGUAGGUGGUGUUUCUAGGCAAAUCCGGAGACACAACACUGAGACACGAGACGAACGUACUACGGUGUGGAAGCCAUUGAUGCCCUGCUUCCAGGAAAAGCCUCUAAGCUUCAGAUUACAAGUCAUCGUACCCCAAACCGACACAGGUGGUCGGGUAGAGAAUACCAAGGCGCUUGAGAGAACUCGGGUGAAGGAACUAGGCAAAAUAGAACCGUAACUUCGGGAGAAGGUUCGCUCUUGACAGUGAAGUCCCUUGCGGAUGGAGCAGUUGGGAGUCGCAGUGACCAGAUGGCUGGGACUGUUUAUCAAAAACACAGCACUCUGCAAACACGAAAGUGGACGUAUAGGGUGUGACACCUGCCCGGUGCCGGAAGGUUAAUUGAUGGGGUUAGCGCAAGCGAAGCUCUUGAUCGAAGCCCCGGUAAACGGCGGCCGUAACUAUAACGGUCCUAAGGUAGCGAAAUUCCUUGUCGGGUAAGUUCCGACCUGCACGAAUGGUGUAACCAUGGCCAUGCUGUCUCCACCCGAGACUCAGUGAAAUCGAAUUCGCCGUGAAGAUGCGGUGUACCCGCGGCUAGACGGAAAGACCCCGUGAACCUUUACUACAGCUUGGCACUGAACAUUGAACCUACAUGUGUAGGAUAGGUGGGAGGCUUUGAAGGCGUGACGCCAGUUGCGCUGGAGCCGUCCUUGAAAUACCACCCUUGUAUGUUUGAUGUUCUAACGCAGGCCCCUGAAUCGGGGUCGCGGACAGUGCCUGGUGGGUAGUUUGACUGGGGCGGUCUCCUCCCAAAGAGUAACGGAGGAGCACGAAGGUUGGCUAAUCCUGGUCGGACAUCAGGAGGUUAGUGCAAUGGCAUAAGCCAGCUUAACUGCGAGACGGACAGGUCGAGCAGGUACGAAAGUAGGUCAUAGUGAUCCGGUGGUUCUGAAUGGAAGGGCCAUCGCUCAACGGAUAAAAGGUACUCCGGGGAUAACAGGCUGAUACCGCCCAAGAGUUCAUAUCGACGGCGGUGUUUGGCACCUCGAUGUCGGCUCAUCACAUCCUGGGGCUGAAGUCGGUCCCAAGGGUAUGGCUGUUCGCCAUUUAAAGUGGUACGCGAGCUGGGUUCAGAACGUCGUGAGACAGUUCGGUCCCUAUCUGCCGUGGGCGUUGGAUGAUUGAAGGGAGUUGCUCCUAGUACGAGAGGACCGGAGUGAACGAACCUCUGGUGUUCGGGUUGUCACGCCAGUGGCACUGCCCGGUAGCUAAGUUCGGAAUCGAUAACCGCUGAAAGCAUCUAAGCGGGAAGCGAGCCCUGAGAUGAGUCAUCCCUGACCCCUUGAGGGUCCUAAAGGGCCGUUGGAGACCACAACGUUGAUAGGUGGGGUGUGUAAGCGCGGCGACGUGUUGAGCUAACCCAUACUAAUUACCCGUGAGGCUUAACCAUACAACACCCAAGAAGUGUUCUG